AUACGUAGGGUGCGAGCGUUAAUCGGAAUUACUGGGCGUAAAGCGUGCGUAGGCGGCCCCGCAAGUCCGCUGUGAAAGCCCCGGGCUUAACCUGGGAAUGGCAGUGGAAACUAAGGGACUUGAAUCCGGCAGAGGGGGGUGGAAUGCCAGGUGUAGCAGUGAAAUGCGUAGAGAUCUGGCGGAACACCGAUGGCGAAGGCAGCCCCCUGGGCCGAGAUUGACGCUCAGGCACGAAAGCGUGGGGAGCAAACAGGA
This 255-nucleotide ribosomal RNA is filed under the name uncultured prokaryote. RNAcentral describes it as "partial 16S ribosomal RNA". It matches the Rfam family "Bacterial small subunit ribosomal RNA", at positions 523 to 777 of the family's 1533-position model. The record is from RNAcentral.